This 78-nucleotide transfer RNA is filed under the name Sphaerodactylus townsendi. Its description in RNAcentral is "tRNA-Ala". The record is from RNAcentral. Lineage: Eukaryota; Metazoa; Chordata; Lepidosauria; Squamata; Sphaerodactylidae.
GGAGGUGAGGCUGUGGCUUAGUGGUAGACUAUCUUCUUUGCAUGCAGAAGGUCCUAGGUUCAAUGUCCAGCAUCUCCC